UCCGGGCCUGCUCUGAGGAAGGAGGUGGUGCGGGGUAAUGAUUAAGAGAAAAGAGAAAGGAUGGAACGGCCCCGAAUGAGGCAGGUGACGACCCAGGACACCUGGCAAAUCAGUGACCAAGCUGAGAGCUCAGGGCACCGGGCUCGCAGGCCCCCGGUUGCGAUUUCAACCUGGUGCGGUUCUCACCAUCGUCAUCACCUCAGCUUGAACCCUGCGGCUUUUUUCUGUGGCUGGAAAAGAUCCUUUUAGUUGGUAUUUGGAGACAUCUAGUGUAAGAGAAUAUGAAAGCAAUGUUCCAGUCUGCUGAGAUGUGAAGUUUGAGGGAUUAUAACGAGCCUGAUUAGAGAUCCCGGCUUGGAUACCUGUACUGUGGAUCUGAGAUUUGUGAAAGGUGGUAUAAAUUGGUCAUGAGAGUUGGGAAAAUAAAUUUUUGUAUUUCUGUUCUAA
Molecule: long non-coding RNA, 447 nt
Organism: Manis javanica (Malayan pangolin)
Lineage: Eukaryota; Metazoa; Chordata; Mammalia; Pholidota; Manidae
Source: RefSeq, a predicted model, not a curated record